Molecule: ribosomal RNA, 245 nt
Filed under: uncultured bacterium
Lineage: Bacteria
Description: partial 16S ribosomal RNA
Rfam family: Bacterial small subunit ribosomal RNA
Source: RNAcentral
UACGUAGGUGGCGAGCGUUGUCCGGAAUUACUGGGUGUAAAGGGCGUGUAGACGGGUUAUAAAGUCAGAUGUGAAAACCCAAGGCUUAACUUUGGGCCUGCAUCUGAAACUCAUGAUCUUGAGUGCUGGAGAGGAAAGCGGAAUUCCUAGUGUAGCGGUGAAAUGCGUAGAUAUUAGGAGGAACACCAGUGGCGAAGGCGGCUUUCUGGACAGUAACUGACGUUGAGGCGCGAAAGCGUGGGGAG